This 150-nucleotide ribosomal RNA is filed under the name Triticum aestivum (bread wheat). RNAcentral's name for it is "partial small subunit ribosomal RNA". Lineage: Eukaryota; Viridiplantae; Streptophyta; Magnoliopsida; Poales; Poaceae. The record is from RNAcentral.
AUGGACUGUUCGGACGCCCAGGCCUUAGCGGCAUUUAAGCACAGCAUCCGUGACGAAUGGCUCGCCCGGCACCUCGGUCAGGAAAAGACGAAGACAAUGCAUGGCAGCUCUUACUGCACUCAUGACCCGCUUCUGUGCGGGCAAAGAUAG